AUACGUAGGGGGCGAGCGUUGUCCGGAAUGAUUGGGCGUAAAGGGCGCGUAGGCGGCCCGGUAAGUCUGGAGUGAAAGUCCUGUUUUUAAGAUGGGAAUUGCUUUGGAUACUGUCGGGCUUGAGUGCAGGAGAGGUAAGUGGAAUUCCCAGUGUAGCGGUGCAAUGCGUAGAGAUUGGGAGGAACACCAGUGGCGAAGGCGACUUACUGGACUGUAACUGACGCUGAGGCGCGAAAGUGUGGGGAGCAAACAGGAUUAGAUACCCUGGUAGUCCACACUGUAAACGAUGAAUGCUAGGUGUAGGGGGUAUCGACCCCUUCUGUGCCGCAGUCAACACAAUAAGCAUUCCGCCUGGGGAGUACGGCCGCAAGGUUGAAACUCAAAUGAAUUGGCGGGG
RNAcentral lists this ribosomal RNA (397 nucleotides) under uncultured bacterium. RNAcentral's name for it is "partial 16S ribosomal RNA". It matches the Rfam family "Bacterial small subunit ribosomal RNA", at positions 523 to 918 of the family's 1533-position model. The record is from RNAcentral.